RNAcentral lists this long non-coding RNA (1849 nucleotides) under Homo sapiens (human). RNAcentral describes it as "HSALNT0356579". Lineage: Eukaryota; Metazoa; Chordata; Mammalia; Primates; Hominidae. The record is from RNAcentral.
GGCGUACGUUGUCUUUAUCUGGUUCAAUUGCACCAUGAGAUGUUAUGACUUCAUCUGAACAGGGAGAGAAAGAGAAAAAAGAAAGGCAAAAAGCGAGAAUAUUAAAUGACAAAGUAUUCUAACCAUCCAAAGUGGUCAGUGACAUAAGCAAAAUCUGACUUAGGGCCCUCGGGUUUCAGAUAAUCUUUAAAAAGAUGCUGUUAUAUCAAGCGCCUCUGGACUGAAACAGGAAAGCUAGGCAGUGGUGUGAAAUCAUUGCUGUUUCACCAAUUAUUUUUCUUUUCUUUUUUCUUUUGAGACGGGGUCUCACUCUGUCGCCAAGGCUGGAGUGCAGUGGUGCAAUCAUGGCUCACUGAAGCCUUCAACUCCUGGGCUCAAGCGAUCCUCUCUCCUCAGCCUCCCAGGUAGCUGGGACUAGAGUUGUACAACACAGUGCCCGGCUAAUUGUAAAUUUUUUUUGUAGAGACGGAGUCUCAUUAUGUUGCCCAAGCUGAUCUCAAACUCCUGGGUUCAAGUGAUCCUCCCACCUCAGCCUCCCAAAGUGCUGGGAUUGUAGGUGUGAGCCACCACAGCUGGCCUAUUUUGCCAAUUAAAUGAAAGGAGAAAUCCUUUGUCAUCCAGUGACAAAGAUGACAUUACAAAACAACAGUGAUUCCGAGUCUCAAGGCCUACAAUGCAGCCUUAUCUUACACACUGUCAUAAGCAAUGUAGGUUUCAUUCAACAGCCUUGGGAGGUGUGUUCUUUUUACUGCAUUUCCACAAACUGGGAGAGGAAAGGGCUGCGGUGACCUCUGCCCCUCCCAGCAAAACCUAAAAAUAAUUUCAAGGCUGGUUACUUCUCCCCAUCUAAACUGCUAGCAGCGUAGUUCAGGCCAUCACAAUUUCUAGUGAUUUCCACCAAGAAGAGUUUUCCAAGUCCUUCUCUGCAGAGCUUCCCAACAUGGUAGGACUAAAACCCAGGCUCUUCCCCAUGGCUGCUGCCUGCCUCGGCCCCUCUCCACACCCUCCCUGCCCCCUGCUCCCAGUGCUCUGGCCAUGAUGACCGGGGCAGGCCUCAGCUCAGGGCCUUCCUGGUGCCUUCCUUAGGCUUGAGGCCCUCUGGUCCUCAAGGGACGGGCCCCUUGGAAUUCCCGACAGAAGCUUACGCAUCACACGUCACUUUCUCCCAGCAUCUGUUGCUUAACUAAAGCCUUUCUCUACCUCAGUGUGGCCGCUCCUCCCCAGCCUGGCCACCUUUUGUCCUACUUUUCCACCACUGUUUCCAGGUGUGUGCCCUGGACUAUGCCUGGCAUUUAAUAACAGACACUCAACAGACACCUGCUCCAUGAGGGACCUUCAGGGCCUGGUCCUUCCAUCACAGAACCUUAUAUACAUUUUUAAUACUCUAAUGGGCUAGGUGCGGUGGCUCACACCUGUAACCCAGCACUUUGGGAGGCCAAGGCAGGUGGAUCACUUGAGCCCAGGAGUUCGAGACCAGCCCAAGCAACAUACUGAAACAGCGUCUUUACAAAAAAAUACAAAAAUUAGCCAGGUGUGGUGGUGUGCACUUGUGGUCCCAGAUACAUGGGAGGCUGACAUGGGAGGAUGGAUCACUUGAGCCCAGGAGGUGGAGGCUGCAGUGAGCUAUGAUCAUGCCACUGCACUCCAGCCUGGGUGAUAGAGUGAGACCCUAUCUCAAAAAUAAUAAUAAUACUAGUAAUGUUUCAAGUGUGGGGAAAUUGGAUGUUUUUAUUGGGAUAGAAAUUGGACUAAAAUAAUGGUUAUCAAAAGCCAAUGUCACUAUCUAAUAUUUAUAUUUUCAGAAGAAAAAUAUUAGUCUUGCAUAGAUUUCCAAUCUGUGGUAUGAAAU